UCCUGCAGACUAAACCUGGUGGAGACGCAAUCAUCAGGGAAUACAACAAAACCAAAAGCUUGACUGACAGCACCAGGAGAAAGAUGAUCAAGAUUCUUACUGCAGAUAUGACUGAAAAACACAGGAUGGAACAGUGACAUUGCUUCUAUUCUUCUUUUACUUCAUUUGAUCCCACCUUCACCACAAGGCAGAAAGAGACCUGGAAAGAUGUCCGCAUCUCAAGCAGAAAAACACCUCAUCAUCUUCAAAAAGUCCGGGACUAACAUACAAGACCACCUGGACUCCAUUGAAGAAAGCACACAGCCAUACCUGCUUGCCAUGGGUCUAAAGAAGAACAGCAUUCAUGGAUACAUCAUUCCCAACAAGAAAGCCAUACCGUGCAAAUCAG
Molecule: long non-coding RNA, 388 nt
Organism: Sinocyclocheilus rhinocerous
Lineage: Eukaryota; Metazoa; Chordata; Actinopteri; Cypriniformes; Cyprinidae
Exons: 3
Source: RefSeq, a predicted model, not a curated record